This 395-nucleotide transfer-messenger RNA is filed under the name Patescibacteria group. RNAcentral's name for it is "2-01-FULL-49-14 sp001816915 Standard tmRNA". It matches the Rfam family "transfer-messenger RNA". From Rfam's summary of the family: Bacterial tmRNA, also known as 10Sa RNA or SsrA, is named for its dual tRNA and mRNA-like properties. The record is from RNAcentral. RNAcentral also lists the same sequence under 2 other names.
GGGGAUGUAUUGAAUCGACGUGACUUGUUCUUUGACAUCUGCAAGCCUCCGUUGAUCCAUCGGAGUUAAACAGGAUCAAAACAAAACUGUCAACAAACUAGUUGCCAGAGCAAGCGCUUUCCUUCGGGAAGCAUUUGCCCCAGUCGCUCCUGCUUACGCAGUAGCCUAAGAUUGGGCAUUCAUCCGCUGUUUUUCUCGGUGGGCGUGGAUGGGUGAAAACAAAGCCGAGAUGCGAUUGCGGCCUUGAAGCAGCCGCAGUUUAAGCACAACGCUUCGCCCCUUGCCUCACUGAUUUGGUGAUUAGUCAGGGCAAGGCACUUAUUAAUCACCUACGCUUGUAGAUGGUGUUGAAGAUUGAGUUGCGGACGCCGGGUCAUACUCGGCCAUCUCCACCC